RNA transcript from Vitis riparia (riverbank grape), 3264 nucleotides. RefSeq lists it as uncharacterized. NCBI's taxonomy places the organism in Eukaryota, Viridiplantae, Streptophyta, Magnoliopsida, Vitales, Vitaceae. The transcript is spliced from 10 exons. The record is from RefSeq and is a predicted model, not a curated record.
AAGGAGUUUAGCAAAUAAUGCAAUUGGAAAAAAAAAUAAAUGAAUAUAUGGAAUUGAUUUUUUGUGCAUUGAGCCAUAUCGUGUUUUUGUGUCCAUGGUGGUUACCUCAGCUUAAGGAGUAAAGAGUUUUAAAAAAUGUAAGUGAAUGCAUUUCUAUUAAUAUUUCCAAAGCAAGGGUAUUUAGUACAUGUUAUUGACUAUUGAGCCACAUCUCUCUUUUUGUGCAUUGAGUCACAUCCUGUUUUUGUGUCUAUGGUGGUUACCUAAUAGAGAAGAUUUUAAAUUUUGAAUUCCCUAUUUGGUGGGAGAAUCAUGUUGAAAGUGGAAAUAUUAUUAAUCUGAAAUGAAUGGCCUUGGCUGAAGAGAUACUGCCUAUACUUAGAAAACUGAUCACUCUACCUCUGUAUGAUACCCUAUGGUACUACCAUUUGUUAUCUGUGACUGCUAAAUUAUGGAGCAGUUCUACUACAAAGAGUUAGUAAUGAAGUUUUCUGUGAUCAUUGAGGGCAGCCGACUGUAAAUAUUCAUUCAUUGGCUUCAUUUAAAAUACCACCAUAUUGCUUGGCGAUUUUCACCAGUCCCCGGUGAGUUAACUGGUCCAUCAUAUUCACUACUUGUCUGCACUUUGUGAUGGUAAAACAUUGAUUAGUGAACUAGGCUAUUUUGGUAUCGCUUUUCAUCAUCGUUCUUUAGCUAUAUUAGGUGUUGGUGGGGUGCAACAUGACGACAGCCCUCAUGGUACGUUCCUCGCCUCUGUAAGAAUAAAAGCAGACCUCCCCCCCUUCCCCUUCCUCCCUGUCCUAAAGCCAUCACUCACAUUCCAAAAACAGUGGUGAUAAGAGCAUCAACCAUGGCUAUUCCCAUCAAGGCCUCUCUUCUAGCUCUCAUUCUACUCCUCACUCCCUUGUCUUCAGGCAUGGCUGAGGGUUUCAAGGAUGGCACAAGCCCCAUUUACUUACUACACAAGGAUGGUACCCUGGUGAAUUCAAAGAAGCUUUUGAAGCUUGAUGCAGUGCUGGACUACGACUAUGCAGAAGCGAACCCCAAGCACGACCUGAGGAAGGGGAAGCCAGGUAAUGGUGGAGGUGGCAAGAACCCAUGACUCUGCUUAUCGUUUCGCUUUGAGCCCUAGUUAAAUAAUGACACUACUCUCUCAAUCUAGAGGGAUUUUUGAUCAUAUAUGAUGAGAUGUAGUAUAGGAUUCUAUAUGAGGUUGUUCAGUAGUAAUGUUAUAAAACUACUCUUGUGGAGGAGUUGUGAGAAUGGAAUGGCCUUAAAAAGAUGAUAUCUACAUUGUGUUUUUGUUUGUUCUCAUUGUAUGGUUCUAUUUUGGCUACUACUUGAAUAAAACAUGAAUGGGAUAGUCUUUGGGUAUCUCAUAAGAAAGAUGAAUAGCAGAAAGAGAGGAAAAACAGGAAAGAUUAGCACAAAAAAUUGAGAAGUUCAAGCAUUUAUCAUAUGUGGGAAUUGAUCUUCUAAUCUCUGCAUUGAGCACACAGAAUGAUGGAGAUUCUAGCAUCGAUGGCUGAUGUUAUGAAAUACCCAGAACGAUCAGUGUAGGAGCAGGAGCAGGAGAAGGGAAUGUACAGUUCCAUUCCUUCUCCUUCUUCUUCCUUUUCUUCUUCUUCUUCACUGAUCCUUCUGUAAUCAAGAGGUGUUUUGAGUUGAAUGCCAGUCUUUUUCAAAUGGUGAACACGGUUACAUGUAAAUGGAUGUGUAAGGGGCAUAAGAUCCAGAGAAAGGGGCCACCCCAGAAAUCUGGGUUGACAUUUUCUGAGGUCUUCCUUUGUCUGCUUUUCCAUAUUUCUUUGCUCCAAUGAUCACAUAUCUUGACCAGAAAGCCCCUUUCUGUGAAUUGGGGUUUUCAGGACAUGAAGCCAGAAAGUUAUGAUUAAUGCAUACACAGUGGUGGAAGUGAGGGACCAGGCCACUGACAUGUAGUGUUGGUGUAUUAUUAGGUUAUUUAGAUCCCCGUAACAAUUUUAUUUCAUCAAUCUUGGUUUAGGACUUUAUAUACUUUCAUGUCAUUUACUCUAUCUCUAAAGAUUCAAGGUUACCAUAAAAUUAUCCGAGUAUGAAUACUCCGGAUCAAUAGCUCCCAUUUCCUCCCCUCCACUUUCCCACGGUUUCUUCCCAACCAAACACACUAUUUCUGAGCUUCAACACUUCUUUUUUCUUGACGCUUCAAUCGGGUUUCGAUAUGAGAAGUGCGAAAGUUGGCGCUUAUUGCCCUUCCCCUGCUCCCACAUUGGUGGUUCUCGUUGUACUAUUGGUGGGUUCAGUGCAGUUCGUACAGUGCCAUAACGUGGAUGACUACAGCGAGUUUGAUGAUCCCGAGCUUCUUCCGUUGUUCACACAGCUUGGUUAUGGUCAGAUUUCCAAUAUGACUACAAUGCUGAGUGCGGAGUUUCAGAAGCGCUCCAAUUUCUGCGUUAAGGAUCUGGAUGCUGAUUGGAACCAGGCUUUUAAUCUUUCAUUUAAUUUGGACUUCUUGGCUUCUUUCAUCCAGAAAACUAAAGGUUUGUAUCAUUGCUGCUCAAGCUCUUACAACCUUGGCAAUCAGGACUGGUGAAUUUAGGUUAAAAGAUGAGUACUCUGGAUGCAACUCGAGCAGAACUUGCUCUUGUAAUUUUGUAUUUGAACAAACCUAAAGCUAGGGAGAAGAUAUGCAAGGCAAUACAAUAUGGUUUGAAAUUUUGGAGUGAUGGACAGCCUGGUACUGCCCAAAAUGUUGACAAAUCAACCAGCUUGGCACGAAAAGUUUUCCAUCUUUUUAAGUCUGUCAAUGACCUGCAUGCUCUUAUUAGUCCAGCUCCUCAAGGGACUCCUCUUCCACUUAGUUUGCUGGGAAAGAGGAACAGCUGGAGGACCGAUAGAGGAUAGGCUGGAAACUCGUGUACGUGGAUCAUGAGAAUGACGUGCUGCUAGUGGGGGAUGAUCCUUGGGAGAAGCUCAUGAUUGAAAUGAUCAGCCUUCCCUAGAAGGAUAAAAAUAUGAGGAGUUUGUGAAUUGGGUACACUGCAUCAAGAUCCUUUAUCCUCAAGAAGUCCAGCAGAUGAGGUUGGAUGGAGAUAUUGGUAACAGUUUACUUCACAAAGAAGUCUGUAACAGUGUACUUCUAGUUUCUCAUGGAUGAUUAGGGAAAGACAUGGACAUUCAUGUAAAGCUCAGUUUAUGGCAUUGUAUUAAUUUAUGUUUUACACACUGAUUUUCAAGACCCAAGACCCUAUUUCCAUUGAGAAAUGAUAUUUAAUAUUUCAAACA